Molecule: ribosomal RNA, 1187 nt
Filed under: uncultured Brevundimonas sp.
Lineage: Bacteria; Pseudomonadati; Pseudomonadota; Alphaproteobacteria; Caulobacterales; Caulobacteraceae
Description: bacterial LSU rRNA
Rfam family: Bacterial large subunit ribosomal RNA
Source: RNAcentral
CGGAAAAGGACAUCAACCGAGACUCCCGUAGUAGUGGCGAGCGAACCGGGACCAGGCCAGUGCUCUUGUGAAAUAAAGGCGAACGACCUGGAAAGGUCGGCCAUAGCGGGUGACAGCCCCGUAGCCGUCAAACAGCAAGAGACUCGAGUAGGGCGGGACACGUGAAAUCCUGUCUGAACAUGGGGGGACCACCCUCCAAGCCUAAGUACUCCUCUACGACCGAUAGUGAACAAGUACCGUGAGGGAAAGGUGAAAAGCACCCCAACGAGGGGAGUGAAACAGAUCCUGAAAUCGGAAGCCUACAAGCAGUCGGAGCCCCCAUGCGGGGUGACGGCGUACCUUUUGUAUAAUGGGUCAGCGACUUCAUGUGUCGAGCAAGCUUAAGCCGUUAGGUGUAGGCGCAGCGAAAGCGAGUCUGAAUAGGGCGCUAAGUUCGACGUAUGACGACCCGAAACUAGGUGAUCUAUCCAUGAGCAGGAUGAAGGUUGGGUAACACCAACUGGAGGUCCGAACCCGUGAAUGUUGAAAAAUUCUGGGAUGACUUGUGGAUAGGGGUGAAAGGCCAAUCAAACCUAGACAUAGCUGGUUCUCCGCGAAAAUCUAUUUAGGUAGAGCGUCCGACGAAUUCCUUGGGGGGUAGAGCACUGGAUGGUUGCGGGCUGCGCGAGUGGUACCAAUACUAACCAAACUCCGAAUACCCAAGAGAACUAUCGGGCAGACACACGGCGGGUGCUAACGUCCGUCGUGAAAAGGGAAACAACCCUAACCAUCAUCUAAGGCCCCCAAGUCAUGGCUAAGUGGGAACGAUGUGGGAUUGCUUUGACAAUCAGGAGGUUGGCUUAGAAGCAGCCAUCCUUUAAAGAAAGCGUAACAGCUCACUGAUCAAGCGAUCCUGCGCGGAAAAUGUAACGGGGCUCAAGCCAUGCGCCGAAGAUAUGGGUUUGCAGUUUACUGCAAGCGGUAGCGGAGCGUUCCGUAAGCCGGUGAAGGUCAGGCGUGAGCCUGGCUGGAGGUAUCGGAAGUGAGAAUGCUGACAUGAGUAACGAUAAACAGUGUGAGAAACACUGUCGCCGAAAGACCAAGGGUUCCUGCGUAAAGCUAAUCUGCGCAGGGUUAGUCGGCCCCUAAGGCGAGGCUGAAAAGCGUAGUCGAUGGGAAACAGGUUAAUAUUCCUGUACUUCUGGUUA